Non-coding RNA from Nylanderia fulva, 1287 nucleotides. Lineage: Eukaryota; Metazoa; Arthropoda; Insecta; Hymenoptera; Formicidae. The record is from RefSeq and is a predicted model, not a curated record.
UUAUUGCACUCAGUGCGCACUGAGAGCAUUUUGCACUCUCAAUGAAAUGUGCUCCACUCAGAACGUGCAAACUAAAACUACCAAUGAAAUACGCUUCAAGCACUCAGUGUUGCCAGUGCUAGCGAGUUUUUUCCAAUGGAAGACGCUAUAAAAUCAUGCGUCGUGUUUCAUUGGAAAAUGUAGUGUCGAGUUUUUGCAUUUUCGUGCACAAAUUCGGUACGACCUCAGAGAGAUGGUGUCGGUUGAGUGUAAUACAUGGCGGCACAGAAUAGAGAUGUUUUGAAUGAACAAACGUAGGUUUGUUCUUUAUUGCUGCACUGAGUUCACAGUGCACUGCACUGAACGGAACUAGUGCAAGCAGGACAAGUUAUUUGUGAGCAAGUAUAAAGAACGCGUCAGUGUAAUAAUCAACAUGGCGAUGAUCUUAAAUGAUUUAUUUGAUUCUUCUGAUGAUGAAGAAAAUAAUAUGUUGUUUCCAUUUCAAUCUAUUAUGCGUAACGAUGACGAUGUUACACAUGUUACAUCCAAUUUUCGAAUUAGUGCAAAGAAUUGAACAUGUGAAAAUAAACAAUUAUAUGGAACAUAUUGUUCAUAAUUAUAAUAACGUUGAUUUUAUCAUGAAUUUUCGUUUGUCAAGAAGAGCAGCAUAUCAAUUAAUAGAUCAAUUUACAGUGUCGGAAAUAUUUACUUCUAUACAAGAACGUGUACAAAAUAAUAAAAUUAGCGCUGAAAAACAUAUUUUGUUAUUUAUGGUUUGUGGGUCAUCAAACAGGAUCUUAUCGAGAUAUAGCAAAUAGAUUCGGAAUAACAAUAAGUGCAUUACAUACAGUAAUAACAAGAGUAACCGAUUUUAUUUUAGUUUUAGCGCCUAAUAUUAUUAAAUACCCAACUGAUCUCGAAAAAGAACAAACUUCAAACUUUUAUCUAUAACAAAAACGAUUUCCUAAUAUAAUUGAUGCUAUCAAUGGUUCUCAAAUAAGAAUAGACAAACCUUUUGAAGAUCUUGAUUCCCUUGCACUUGAAUAGAAAAAUAAUGUUUCCGAUUUAUAUAGGAAUAUAAAUCGGAAACAUUAUUUUUCUAUUCAAGUGCAAGGGACAGUUAAUCAUGACAUGAAAUUUAUUGACGUAUUUAUUGGGUAUCCAGGUUCCAUUCACGAUGCAAGAGUUUUAAAAAAUUCAACACUAUAUAAUGAUCUACAUAAUAUUUGUGGAGAUAAUUAUUACCUGUUGGGAGAUAGUGCUUAUUCAUGUUUGAAACAAUUGAUUGUUCCAUAUAAGGAUAACGGA